CAUGCCGUAAACGAUGUCAACUAGCCGUUGGGCUCCUUGAGGGCUUAGUGGCGCAGCUAACGCGAUAAGUUGACCGCCUGGGGAGUACGGUCGCAAGACUAAAACUCAAAUGAAUUGACGGGGACCCGCACAAGCGGUGGAUGAUGUGGUUUAAUUCGAUGCAACGCGAAAAACCUUACCCACCUUUGACAUGGUCGGAACCCUUUAGAGAUAGAGGGGUGCUCGAAAGAGAGCCGAUACACAGGUGC
This 248-nucleotide ribosomal RNA is filed under the name uncultured bacterium. Its description in RNAcentral is "partial 16S ribosomal RNA". It matches the Rfam family "Bacterial small subunit ribosomal RNA", at positions 796 to 1041 of the family's 1533-position model. The record is from RNAcentral.